GCUGGGAUGGCCGAGUCGUUAAGGCGAGUGAUUUGAAUGAGGCCUUGAAAAUUCUCUCAAAUUAUCACUUGGUGUUUCACCGCGUAGGUUCAAAUCCUGCUCCCAGCG
Non-coding RNA from Flammula alnicola, 108 nucleotides. Lineage: Eukaryota; Fungi; Basidiomycota; Agaricomycetes; Agaricales; Strophariaceae. The record is from the annotation of a GenBank genome assembly.